AUUCCUUUAGUAUAUUAGUACAGAUGCCUUCCAAGCAUAAAGACCCCCACGGGAAGAAAUA
RNAcentral lists this transfer RNA (61 nucleotides) under Gloydius himalayanus. RNAcentral's name for it is "tRNA-Gly". Lineage: Eukaryota; Metazoa; Chordata; Lepidosauria; Squamata; Viperidae. The record is from RNAcentral.